This is a non-coding RNA of Canis lupus familiaris (dog), 141 nucleotides long. The record is from RefSeq and is marked provisional. NCBI's taxonomy places the organism in Eukaryota, Metazoa, Chordata, Mammalia, Carnivora, Canidae.
UCUGAAGCGUGCACAUCUUGUUUCCUAGGCCCACUGUGAUUUGCUCAGAGAGAGUUAGGGAGAAUGUUGGAAGCACGUUACUUAAUUCUCAGGAGUGAAACGAGAAGUAUCUUGGAGGAGGGAGACAGCCAGCCAGAGCUU